Long non-coding RNA from Bubalus bubalis (water buffalo), 1950 nucleotides. RefSeq lists it as uncharacterized. Lineage: Eukaryota; Metazoa; Chordata; Mammalia; Artiodactyla; Bovidae. The transcript is spliced from 2 exons. The record is from RefSeq and is a predicted model, not a curated record.
CAUAUGGAGAAGAAUAUGGAAAAGAAUGUAUAUAAAUGUAUAACUGAAUCACUUUUCUGUACAGCAGAAAUUAACACAACAUUGUAAAUCAACUAGAAUAAAACAAAUUUUUAAAAAAUCACAAUGUUUAAAACUUCAUUCAUAUUCCUAUCAAAAAUAAAAGAGAUUAGUGUUGUGGGUAAAACAUUAGUUUGGGUUUUAGUCUUAUUUAUUGAAAAACUACUCUGUUGGGAAAUGCUUUUUCUCAUCUGCCUCUUUUUUUUCUUAUAGGGGGUAUACAAGUAAUAUUUGUUGUACGUGCCACUAGGUUAUUAUGAGGAUUAAGUGUGUACAGUUGUAAAAUGGAUGAAAUAUUCAGAAACUGCUGAUGCAGGUGUCAUGAGUAUUAGUUGCAGUAUAACAUUUCUGUUUUUUAAGGUGACCCAAGCCCACCUUUUGUAUGCAGUGAUGGCUCUCUGUUGCAGGCUUUGGAGAUAAUAGACACUGAACCUAAUUAACUGAAGUUUUGGAGACAGUGCUGGAACAGUCAGGCGUUACUCAGGCCCUUCUGCUCACACUACAAGUUAUGGUCAUGCUUUGCAUGAAGGUCAAGUAAGGUUGCCUCUUGUCCUUGCUACUAUUGGGGUGGCCAAAAAGUUUGUUUAUUUCUCCAUACGAUGACUCUGGUAGCACUUAAUUGUCUUUAACUUCAUUGGAAAUAGUUUUGUUGGAUUAUAUUGUUAUCAGUGUGUGUUUUUUAAAAAACUUAGCCAAAUUGCUGAAUUUUUGUGAAGCCAUUUUAAUGUUGAAGAUGGAAGAAAAAAAGCAACAUUUUCAGCAUAUUAUGUUUUAUUGUUUCAAGAGAGGUGAAAAUGCAACUGAAAUGCAAAAAAGGAUUUGUGCAGUAUGUGGAGAAGGUACUGUGACUGAUUGUGUCAGAAGUGGUUUGCAAACUUUUGUACUGGAGACUUACCGCUGGAUGAUGCUGUUUGGUCAGGUAGACCAAUUGAAGUUAAUAGCGAUCAAAUCGAGACAUUGAUUGAAAAAAAUCAAUGUUAUAUACCACGCAAGAGAUAGUCAACAUACUCAAAAUAUCCAGAUCAAGCGUUGAAAAUCCUUUGCACCAGCUUGGUUAUGUUAACCACUUUGAUGUUUGGGUUCCACAUAAGUUAAGUGUAAAAAAAAAAACCUUCUUGACCGUAUUUCCGCAUGUGAUUCUCUAUACUUAAACAUAACAAAAUUGUUCACUUUUAAAACGAAUUGUGACGGAUGAUGAAAGUGGAUACUGUACAGUAAUGUGGAAUGGAAGAGAUCUUGGGACAAGUGAAAUGAACCACCCAUCAACCACCCCAAAAGCCGAUCUUCAUCCAAAGCUGGUGAUGUUGUAUAUGUGGUGGGGUUGAAAGAGAGUCCUCUGUAGUGAGUUCCUUCUGGAAAACUAAAUGAUUUAAUCCCAACAAGUACAGCUCCCGGUUGGACCAACUGAAAGAAGCGCUCCAGAGUUAGUCAACAGAAAAUGGGGAUAAUCCUCCACCAGGAUAACACAAGACCGGAUGUUUCUUUGAUGACCAGGCAAAAACUGUUUAACACCUUGGCUGGGAAGUUCUGAUUCAUCUGCCAAAUUCACCAGACAUUGUACCUUCGGAUAUCUGUUUAUUUUGAUCUUUUGAAAUUAUCUUAGUGGAAAAAACGUCGGUUUCCUGUAAGACUGUAAAGGCACCUGGAACAGUUCUUUACUCAGAAAGAAAAAUUGUUGGGAAAAUAGAAUUGUGAAAUUGCUUGGAAAAUGGCCGGAUGUAGUAGAACAAAACAGUAAUACGUUGUUCAAUAAAGAUCUUGGUGAAAAUGAAAAAUGUGUCUUUUAUUUUUACUUAAAAACAGAAGGAACUUUUUGACCAACCCAAUACUAUUUUGGUAAGAGCUGUAUUUUUAUUUUUCUCCUGUGUACUGAGCAUUGCAUUGAAUUCUAAA